This 673-nucleotide long non-coding RNA is filed under the name Mus spicilegus (steppe mouse). RNAcentral's name for it is "lncRNA (ENSMSIG00000021165.1)". Lineage: Eukaryota; Metazoa; Chordata; Mammalia; Rodentia; Muridae. The record is from RNAcentral.
GCACCCCCCCCCCCCAAGGCGGGGCAGGUGCGCACGGACUGCGCUUGCGCACGGCAGCCCCGCCCCGGGCCCCGCCCCCGACCCGCGCGGGGCCCUGGGAGGGGCACAGCGUCCGGCGGCGUCGCGGGCGGCGGGGCUGGGGCGGCGGGAGGGGCGGCGGGGGCAGACAAAGCGGCUAAUGAAUGGGCGCGCCCGUCGCGCUGUCCGCAGCCCGCGGGCCCGCGCAGCGCAGCGCGGAGCCGGCGCCUCAGGUCUCUGAUGGGCCUAGAGUUUGGAGCAAGAACUGGGAAGCAGAGCUCUAGAAGCAUGGAGACCAUAAGUGGCCAUGGUCACUGUCUCUUCACCCCAUGUCUGCACUUUUUAUGUACCUGGCUUCAAAUACUUUAGUUUCUACUUCUGGUUGACCUACUGAGAGGAGGGCAUAGGAAAUGAAGGACUGUGUGUGCCCUCAAGAUGGCGGGGCUCCUGACUUGGAGAAGAGGAAGAAGUCUAUGCUGCACGCAUUGGUUUAUACAACAAGAAGUAUUUGGUUGCAGUACUCCUACAGAACAGCACUCCAUGCCCUGUGACAGUGUGCUUGUGUGAGCUUUCCAGUGACAUUCAUGGUCAGCCAUAGUAAACAGCCUAGAAAAUGAGAUUAUGAAAGAGUGAAUAAAAUCUACUUUAGGGUUCA